UACAUGAUCAUACUGCUGCGCUACUACUGUGAAGGUGCUGCCUAGAAUAAUAGUUAUUAUGUGUACUAAUCAACAAAAGCAUUGGUUGACAUGGGGAUUACUCUAUUUUCAAACAUUAGUAAUUUGAUUCUCUGUUGGUCUUGUAUUAUGAGAGAUGUAUAUCAGCUUUGCACAGUCUGUCAGUUCUGUUCAAACACUGCAUUGUCACUACUUCCAAGCCCCCACAUUGAUGGCAUUUCACAAGUCUGCUCAGCCUGGCAGAGAUGGC
Non-coding RNA from Pelobates cultripes (western spadefoot toad), 268 nucleotides. NCBI's taxonomy places the organism in Eukaryota, Metazoa, Chordata, Amphibia, Anura, Pelobatidae. The record is from the annotation of a GenBank genome assembly.